This 401-nucleotide ribosomal RNA is filed under the name uncultured bacterium. RNAcentral describes it as "bacterial SSU rRNA". It matches the Rfam family "Bacterial small subunit ribosomal RNA", at positions 29 to 416 of the family's 1533-position model. The record is from RNAcentral.
AACGAACGCUGGCGGUAUGCCUAACACAUGCAAGUCGCACGAGAAAGUACUUCGGUAUGAGUAGAGUGGCGCACGGGUGAGUAACACGUAGGUGACCUUCCGAAUAGUGGGGGAUAACUCGGAGAAAUCCGGGCUAAUACCGCAUAUGUACGACAAAUCUGAGAGUAGUCGUAGAAAGAAUGCCUCUACUUGUAAGCAUUCGCUAAUCGAUGGGCCUGCGGAGCAUUAGCUUGUUGGUGGGGUAAUGGCCUACCAAGGCUACGAUGCUUAACGGAUCUGAGAGGAUGAUCCGUCACACUGGAACUGAGACACGGUCCAGACUCCUACGGGAGGCAGCAGUGGGGAAUAUUGCGCAAUGGACGCAAGUCUGACGCAGCAAUACCGCGUGAGUGAGGAAGGCC